Non-coding RNA from Oryctolagus cuniculus (rabbit), 2243 nucleotides. Lineage: Eukaryota; Metazoa; Chordata; Mammalia; Lagomorpha; Leporidae. The record is from RefSeq and is a predicted model, not a curated record.
GGCGGGGCCUCGGACUUCCGGGACCGAGGGCGGCGGGGACGUAGACGCGCAGCGCGGUGGGCGUGGCCUCCGUGCGUCUGUUCUGCGCUCGGGCGCGGCGCCGCCAUGCCGGCCUCGCUAGCGGCCGCCGCGUCCCCGAGUGGGGUUUACGCCUUUGGAAGUGUGACGGCGCCCCCGGGCUCUGCCGUCUCCCUUCCACGGGGCAGUGCUCGGGGCAGUACUGUGCCUCCUCCUAGGACGUCUUCAAAACAACGACUUCCAUUCUACGAAGGCACACGCGUUGUUGGCAGAAAGUUCGGAAAGGAAAAAAAGGCCCGCGCUUCGGCCCCGCGGGAUCAGCCGUGAUUUAUUUAUUUGAAAGGCAGAGUUACAGAGAGAGAGGGCUUCCGUCCACUGGUUCACUCACCAAAUGGCUGCAGUGGCCGGAGCUGCGCCAAUCAGAAGCCAGGAGCUUCCUCUGGGUCUCCCACACGGGUGCAGGGGCCCAAGGACUUGGACCAUCUUCUACUGCUUUCCUAGGCCAUAGCAGAGAGCUGGAUGGGAAGAGGAGCAGCUGGGAGCAGAACCGGAAUCCACAUGGGAUACCGGCACUGCAGGUGCGUCACCCACUACGCCACAGUGCCAGCCCCCAGCCCUUUGCUGCCUGCAGUGACCUGGGCUCCAUGGGCAGCCCUGCAGGUGGGGCAGGGCCAACUUCACUCACCCGAAGGACGCCGUCUGGGGUCCAUGCUCCCUCGUUUGUCUAAGUCGUCGUGUGUGUUCCAGAACAUUCCCUGGGGCGGGCCCCCCGGAUGUGGAAUUGGCGAGUCAGAGAAGGUAAACACGACACUUCUUGUAGCCACACCCUUUUUCUCUUUACAUAUUUUCCAGAUUUAAAAAUCAGCGAGUGUUUAAGUAAAUGAGUCGAACAGAGGACUGCAUGUGUCUAUAAAUAUGUAAAAUAAAGGGUCUCAUAGAACACGUGAAGAGUUCUACAGCUAGCAGCAGGCUGUGCAGGAUACGGAUGGGCAGAGGACUCGGAUGCCGUUGCUGCGGAAUGAAAGACAAAUGACCAGUGAGCUCCAGAAGUCCUUGGGGACAUGCAGAUCAAAGCCGGAGGAGCCAGCCCUUCGCACCCACCAGCCCUUCACACUCUGCCUCGACGACAGAGAAUGACAGGUGCUGGUGCAGAAAUGGGGACACUGGAGCCCCAGGGCUGGCGGGAGCGUGAAAGGGCGCGGCUGCUUUGCAGAACGGUCCGGGGUCCUCAGAGCUGAGCAGGAGCCUCCCCGGGGCCCAGGAGCCGCACCGGCACCCUGCAGCCUCGUCCCGGCAGACAGGCAGUGCGGCCGACCCAGACAUCCAUCAGUGGGCGAAUGCAGACAGGCAGACGGCUGUCACUCAGCCCUAAAGAGCUGACUCGCGCUCCAACACAGUCAGCCUCGAGAAGUUUUCGCCAAAUGAAAUAAACCAGGUACAGCAGAAGGCAGUGUACGGUUCCUCCCGCAUGAGGUGCCCAGAGCAGUCAAAUUCCAGUGCCCACGGCAACCCGAGAGACACGAUCCGGCGUGCCCUCACCCCAAACACUGAAGUGCAGGAAGACCAAACUCCCCGAAGUCUGAAGUCCUGAAAUGACAGUCUUGCACAGCACAGUUUGGAAGAAUCGAAAGAUCGCGACAUCUGGGGUGGUGCCUUGUGGGAUCCAGGACGCAAGCCCGGCAUAUCGGCAGAGGUGGUUACCAGGUGCUGGCGGGGGGGGGGGGGGGUCUCUUAGCCAGGCACUGAGUUUCGUUUGGGGUGAUGAAAAGUUGCGGAGUGGUUAGGGGUGGCGCCGCGCACGCGGCUGCAACGUUGGUGUUACCGUGUUUUACCUUACACAAAGUCAACCUGGGGAGAACAGGCUGAUUUUUCCUGCAUGCCGGCCGGCAGGCAGCCAGCCUGCUCCUGCUGGGUGACCUUGGCCGCGAGCUGAGGACGGGCCUCUGGGGAGCGCAGCUCUGGCCUCACCUGUAGCGUUUUCCACACCAGCUUCCAAGCUGGGAGAGCGAAACGUGGCUCUGGGAGGCGGUGAGUCACUCCAGAUCUGUAUCUGAACGUGGUCUUGUUUUGAAUGUGGUCUUGUGCACACACGUGCACACACACAUGCACACACACACGCAUGCACACGUGAUUCCCUCGUUCCCUCACGGUGUCCACAAUCAGCGAUUUUGGAAACAGACUAGCACCCACAAAGAAAUAUCAAAGACACCAAGGCCCAACCUGGA